RNAcentral lists this ribosomal RNA (320 nucleotides) under uncultured eukaryote. RNAcentral's name for it is "partial 18S ribosomal RNA". It matches the Rfam family "Eukaryotic small subunit ribosomal RNA", at positions 1470 to 1796 of the family's 1831-position model. The record is from RNAcentral.
CCCCUAGAUGUUCUGGGCCGCACGCGCGCUACACUGAACAGUUCAACAAGUCUUAACCUUGGCCGAUAGGUCUGGGUAAUCUUUGAACGCUGUUCGUGAUUGGGAUAGACCUCUGCAAUUAUGGGUCUUCAACGAGGAAUUCCUAGUAAACGCAAGUCAUCAGCUUGCAUUGAUUACGUCCCUGCCCUUUGUACACACCGCCCGUCGCACCUACCGAUUGAAUGGUCCGGUGAAAUCUCGGGACGGCGGCUUGGUCGCUUGCGUCCGACUGCUGAAACUUGAUUAAACCAUNUNAUUUAUNGGAAGGUGAANUCGUANCA